AUUGUUGACUUACAUUGUGUAUUACGUUGCGUGUGUAAAUAGAAAUAGUGUUUGAGAUGAAAAGUCAUACAUUUUUGCAUUAAUCAAAUGAGGUGUUUGUAAUCGUUUGGCUUGUUUUGGGUAAACAAACCGAAAUAUCGCCACAAUCCAGCAAAAACUCCAAAAGUUUUUUAUUUGAAAGUUGAACCAAAAUCGACUACUGUUCCCACCAAGAGAGAAUUCAUCAUUUUGGUUGAAACUAAGGCACCGCAUCUCGUCUGUUGUUUAAGGAGGAAGUAUCGUAGACUCCACGACAACGGAACUAUGUUCAACGUCCAACAUCAGAAUGUGAACGAUACAUUCCUAAAUUAGAUCUUGGGUUAGAUGGUGCCAACAUACCGGAAUUUAGAACGGAGUCCAACAUGCGGGGGAGGAGGAACGCUAAAACUAAACCAAAGCGACAACAUGCAGGGCAAAUGGUUUAAUAAAACAACAUUGAUGAUCAGAUUGUAUUAAGGCAGAU
Molecule: long non-coding RNA, 502 nt
Organism: Armigeres subalbatus
Lineage: Eukaryota; Metazoa; Arthropoda; Insecta; Diptera; Culicidae
Exons: 3
Source: RefSeq, a predicted model, not a curated record